Molecule: ribosomal RNA, 253 nt
Filed under: uncultured bacterium
Lineage: Bacteria
Description: partial 16S ribosomal RNA
Rfam family: Bacterial small subunit ribosomal RNA
Source: RNAcentral
UACGGGGGGUGCAAGCGUUGUUCGGAAUUACUGGGCGUAAAGGGCGCGUAGGCGGCCUGCUAAGUCGGACGUGAAAUCCCCCGGCUCAACCGGGGAACUGCGUCCGAUACUGGUGGGCUCGAAUCCGGGAGAGGGAUGUGGAAUUCCAGGUGUAGCGGUGAAAUGCGUAGAUAUCUGGAGGAACACCGGUGGCGAAGGCGGCAUCCUGGACCGGUAUUGACGCUGAGGCGCGAAAGCCAGGGGAGCAAACGGG